RNAcentral lists this ribosomal RNA (319 nucleotides) under uncultured Lactobacillus sp. RNAcentral describes it as "bacterial SSU rRNA". It matches the Rfam family "Bacterial small subunit ribosomal RNA", at positions 216 to 524 of the family's 1533-position model. The record is from RNAcentral. Lineage: Bacteria; Bacillati; Bacillota; Bacilli; Lactobacillales; Lactobacillaceae.
CGCUAAAGGGAUGGACCUGCGAUGCAUUAGCUAGUUGGUAAGGUAACAGCUUACCAAGGCGAUGAUGCAUAGCCCGAGUUGAGAGACUGAUCGGCCACAUUGGGACUGAGACACGGCCCAAACUCCUACGGGAGGCAGCAGUAGGGAAUCUUCCACAAUGGACGAAAGUCUGAUGGAGCAACGCCGCGUGAGUGAAGAAAGGUUUUCGGAUCGUAAAGCUCUGUUGUUGGUGAAGAAGGAUAGAGGUAGUAACUGGCCUUUAUUUGACGGUAAUCAACCAGAAAGUCACGGCUAACUACGUGCCAGCAUCCGCGGUAAU